RNAcentral lists this ribosomal RNA (253 nucleotides) under uncultured bacterium. RNAcentral's name for it is "partial 16S ribosomal RNA". It matches the Rfam family "Bacterial small subunit ribosomal RNA", at positions 524 to 776 of the family's 1533-position model. The record is from RNAcentral.
UACGUAGGUGACCAGCGUUGUCCGGAUUUACUGGGCGUAAAGAGCGCGCAGGCGGUCGUACAAGUCGCGUGUGAAAGCCCCCGGCUCAACUGGGGAGGGUCACGCGAUACUGUUCGACUCGAAGGCAGGAGAGGGAAGUGGAAUUCCCGGUGUAGUGGUGAAAUGCGUAGAUAUCGGGAGGAACACCAGUGGCGAAGGCGACUUCCUGGCCUGUUCUUGACGCUGAGGCGCGAAAGCUAGGGUAGCAAACGGG